GACGAACGCUGGCGGCGUGCUUAACACAUGCAAGUCGAACGGGCCCGCCCCUGUUUUUGGGGGUGGGUUGAGUGGCGAACGGGUGAGUAUCACGUGAGUAACCUGCCCCCUGCUCCUGGAUAACUGCUUGAAAGGGCGGCUAAUACGGGGUGUGCCGGCUGGUCCGCAUGGGCCUGGUCGGGAUAGUUUCAUCUUCGGGUGUUUCGGUGGGGGAUGGGCUCGCGGCCUAUCAGCUUGUUGGUGGGGUGAUGGCCCACCAAGGCGGUGACGGGUAGCCGGCCUGAGAGGGAGGGCGGCCACACGGGGACUGGGACACGGCGCAGACGCGUGCGGGAGGCAGCAGUGGGGGGUAUUGCACAAUGGGCGGAAGCCUGAUGCAGCGACGGCGCGUGAGGGAUGGAGGCCGUCGGGUUGUGAACCUCUUUCUCCGGUGGUGAAGGCCCUGUCCGUUGCGGCGGGGUUGACGGUAGCCGGGUAUGAAGCGCCGGCUAACUACGUG
Molecule: ribosomal RNA, 499 nt
Filed under: uncultured bacterium
Lineage: Bacteria
Description: partial 16S ribosomal RNA
Rfam family: Bacterial small subunit ribosomal RNA
Source: RNAcentral